CCCGAGGUCGCCAAGUGGUUAAGGCAGGGGACUGUAACUCCCCCAUCGGGAGUUCAAAUCUCUCCCUCGGGACCA
RNAcentral lists this transfer RNA (75 nucleotides) under Anaerolineae bacterium. RNAcentral's name for it is "tRNA-Tyr". It matches the Rfam family "tRNA". From Rfam's summary of the family: Transfer RNA (tRNA) molecules are approximately 80 nucleotides in length. Lineage: Bacteria; Bacillati; Chloroflexota; Anaerolineae. The record is from RNAcentral.